GUGCUAAGCUUAGUGCUCUCUCUCCCACCACCAGUGGCAGAGCCACUGUGUGGGGAGAAACACCUUUUUAUCUUGGAGAGGGGCAGCCUUGUUUCUGAGGACAGAUGGGAGCAAAACGGGACAGGUAGGAAGUUUCGUGGUUUCUCGUGUCGCUUCUCCAAAAUAGCCACACUGCUGCCUCCCACUUCCUGCCUGACUCGGCUGGGGUAGAUUUUCUCCUUUAGAGGAUUUGUGUUCUGUGUAUUCCCAGGGAGGCUCGAAGGGAUCUGUUGCCAAAAACAUGCUUGACACUGAAGCCCUGGAGCUUGGCACUGAGGGCCCCAGCUCAGGUUUGGACCACUGGGUUUGCAUCCGGGCUCUGUCUCAUACUGGCUGCGUGACCUUGGGCAAAUGACUUCACUUCUCUGUGCCUCAUCAGUAGGAUGGAGAUAACAACUCUAGCUAUAUCCAGCAGUUACUCUGCAGAUUAAAUGAAUAUGUGUAAAGGGCACAGCCCAGUGUGGGCACAUAGCAACUCUUAAUGAAUCUCUUAAUAAAAAACAGCAAUGUUGUUGUUGAUCUCCAUCCCCUACCUGGAAAACUGUACCAGCCUCCCAGCCACCUUCCCUUUCCCCUGGCUUGCCUGCUCCAGCACAUCCCAGCAUGAUCCGAGAGUGAUAGAAACGUGAAACACAAAUCUGACCCUGCUAUCUGCUGCUUAAAAUCCACCCAUAGCUUCCAGCGUCUAUGGCAGGAAUGAGCAUUCUUUUGCUCUGAAUGGCCAGAUAGUAUUUGAAGCUUUGCCGGGCAUAUAGUCUCUCUUGACUUUGUCAUUGCAGCCUGGAAGCAACCACAGAUAAUAUGUAAAAAAUGGGCGUGGUUGUGUUCCAGUAAAAUUUUAUGUACGAAAACAGGCAGCCGGCUGGAUUUGCCAACCCUUGACCUACAGGAUGAAUCCAGACCCUUAGCUCAGCAUUCCCAGUUCAGCCUGUUCCCGUUAUCUCCAUCCUUCUUCCUCCCCCACCCCUGCUCUUGUGCAGAACAUGUCACACUUUAAUCCUUUGCGUGUGCUGCUCCCUCUUUCUGAGUUUUCCUUCCCUGCCCCCUGAGUGCCCCUUCCCCAUGGCAUUAGGACCUUUACUCUGGGAUUCUGUGGUACCCUGUCUUUAUUUCUACCCUGGUCAUAUAUGCAAGUUCCAUCUGUCUCUCCAUGAGAGGGGCUCCCCUCUAGGCAGGGAUUCGGCCUUCCUCUUCUGUACACCCAGCAGGGUGCUGCUGUAUAGGUUUCUGCAGGUGCUCAGUAAGCAUUUGUUAUUGAACCCAAGGAUCUGCAAGAUGGAUGGUUGGCCUCAGGGAGCUCACAGUCAGCUUAGAAAGCUAGGAUAUGAGCCAGUCAAAAGCCAGCCAGCAAUCCAGGCAGGAAAUGAUGAUGGUCUGUGUGUUUGGCCCUAACUGAUGUCAAGUGGAGAUUCUGAGCUUGAUAGAGGAAGGGCCUCGGGUGGUCCUCGAGGUGCCGCAGGUGGAAGAAGAACAGGCCAAGGCAAAUGCCUCCGGUACCCAGCACUGCCUGGUGCACAGUAGUGGUUGAUCAGUAAUUGUUGAACCAAUCAGGGUUUCUGUUUGCUUGAAGGAAAGGGUAGGAGUGGAGGGUGAGUGACUGGGUGAAUGGGUGCUAUGAGGACAAAGGAGAGUGGAGUUUAGAGGUAGCACUAGUGUCGCAAGCCUGAAGGUUUACCAGAGACAGAGGGGUGAAAAGAUGAGUGGGGCACUAAGCAUAUUGAAUGUGAGAGCUGCUGGAAAUGCAGGAUUGGGGCGUGCUGGGUGGGGCAGGUGAUGUGUGCAGCUGUGGAAGCUGCUACCAAGUCAAGCAUUUUCAGAUGGACAUGCUUAGGCAGGAAGGAACAAGGCUUGGCUCCUGGCCUGGGGAGAGUUAACCUCCUGGCCCGGCAUUGCAUAACCGCAGAGUCUGCUGAGCGCAAGGAGACUCUUCUGUGUGGCAGCCAGAGUGGCAAGCCUGGUGGCUCCGGGCUCUGGCACCAUCCCGCAGCGGAACAAACAGCCCUCCCUUCCCAGAUAAUGGCCCUCAUUGAGCAUUGUGUCCAUGGCCAGCACCCAGCACAGGGCAGCUCAGCCUGGGAGUCAGCCUCUCC
This 2129-nucleotide long non-coding RNA is filed under the name Homo sapiens (human). Its description in RNAcentral is "HSALNT0291750". The record is from RNAcentral. Lineage: Eukaryota; Metazoa; Chordata; Mammalia; Primates; Hominidae.